CUGUAACAGCGCAUAAGGGGAAGACAUUGUGCACAUCACACAUAGAAUUAAUGAGGAAAGUGUACUAUAGAUGGUACAUGGUGCCUACCAGAUUGGCGAAGAUAUACCAGGGAACAUCAGCGCUGUGCUGGAGGUGUGGGGUGACGGAGGGCACGAUGUUCCACAUAUGGUGGAAGUGCGGGACGAUCAGACCCUAUUGGGAGAUGGUAG
Molecule: non-coding RNA, 210 nt
Organism: Pelobates cultripes (western spadefoot toad)
Lineage: Eukaryota; Metazoa; Chordata; Amphibia; Anura; Pelobatidae
Source: the annotation of a GenBank genome assembly